This 841-nucleotide ribosomal RNA is filed under the name uncultured bacterium. RNAcentral's name for it is "bacterial SSU rRNA". It matches the Rfam family "Bacterial small subunit ribosomal RNA", at positions 28 to 869 of the family's 1533-position model. The record is from RNAcentral.
GAUGAACGCUGGCUGUGUGCCUAAUACAUGCAUGUCGAACGCUGCUAGCAAUAGCAGAGUGGCAAAUGGGUGAGUAACACGUACUUAACGUACCCCUUAGAUUGGUAUAACGACCAGAAAUGGUCGCUAAUUCCAAAUACUUGUAAGUCUCGCAUGAGAUUUACAUAAAAGGAGCCUUCAAGCUCCACUAAGGGAUCGGGGUGCGCAACAUUAGUUAGUUGGUGAGGUAAUGGCUCACCAAGACGAUGAUGUUUAGCGGGGUUGAGAGACUGAACCGCCACACUGGGACUGAGAUACGGCCCAGACUCCUACGGGAGGCAGCAGUAGGGAAUAUUCCACAAUGAGCGAAAGCUUGAUGGAGCGACACAGCGUGCUUGAUGAAGGCCUUCGGGUUGUAAAGAGCUGUGGUAAGGGAAGAAAAAGUAGUACAGGAAAUGGUAUUACCUUGACGGUACCUUACUAAAAAGCAACGGCUAACUAUGUGCCAGCAGCCGCGGUAAUACAUAGGUUGCAAGCGUUAUCCGGAAUUAUUGGGCGUAAAGCGUCUGUAGGUUGUGUGUUAAGUCUGGCGUUAAAUUUUGGGGCUCAACCCCAACACGCGUUGGAUACUGGCAUACUAGAGUUAUGUAGAGGUUAGCGGAAUUCCUUGUGAAGCGGUGAAAUGCGUAGAUAUAAGGAAGAACACCAAAAUGGCGAAGGCAGCUAACUGGACAUACACUGACACUGAGAGACGAAAGCGUGGGGAGCAAACAGGAUUAGAUACCCUGGUAGUCCACGCCGUAAACGAUGAUCAUUAGCUGAUGGGGGAACUUCAUCGGCGCAGCUAACGCAUUAAAUGAUC